RNAcentral lists this long non-coding RNA (635 nucleotides) under Danio rerio (zebrafish). RNAcentral describes it as "lncRNA si:dkey-110g7.10 (ENSDARG00000096864.2)". Lineage: Eukaryota; Metazoa; Chordata; Actinopteri; Cypriniformes; Danionidae. The record is from RNAcentral.
AGACAGCUUUGCACAGUUUGUCUUUAGAUAAAAUGAAAUGACUUGCUGCGGACGCUGUCAGACUCAGAAGAACAUCUGUCCUGCCUGGAGAUCCUGAUUUCUGACCCCUGCCUGGAGGAGAGCGGCGCUGUGUGCUGUAGAGGGGAGAUAAUGGCCUCUGGCUCCUCAAUCUCUCGCUGUAAUGUGUUUCUGACGCCAGCGAGUGCCUGCGGCCCCUUGGGAGGCACAGGGACGACAUCAUGAUGGAGUGUCAGCAGAAUGAAACGAGAGAAGCCACCCAGAAAGCGAUGACCCGCUGACCCCUGUGGUAAUGCCAGCCUCCAGGCGAGCUGACUUCACACCAGCAGAUGCACACAGCUCUUUCUGUCCUGCUCUUCAGCUGUCCAGGAUCUGGAGCCAUGGAGAGAGAAGAGCUCAAGGACGGGGACAGCAGAGCCGCCGCUGCAGCCCUGCGGGCCUGUUCUGGACUCCACUGUCAGCCAUGAUGGACAGCUGCUGCCCAGGUAUAUCAGGACAAGUGCUUUAUAGGAUAAUGUAGGCGGCUGGUGUCCUGGUUUCUGAUUAUACAUGCACAACAAACCCUCUGCUGUAUGCAAUUAAGUACAAGACCAACAAGAUUAUACAAAUAUAUUCAU